UGAGGAAUAUUGGUCAAUGGACGGAAGUCUGAACCAGCCAAGUAGCGUGCAGGAUGACGGCCCUAUGGGUUGUAAACUGCUUUUAUGCGGGGAUAAAGUUUGGGAUGUAUCCCUUUUUGCAGGUACCGCAUGAAUAAGGACCGGCUAAUUCCGUGCCAGCAGCCGCGGUAAUACGGAAGGUCCGGGCGUUAUCCGGAUUUAUUGGGUUUAAAGGGAGCGUAGGCCGUCGUUUAAGCGUGUUGUGAAAUGCCGCGGCUCAACCGUGGCACUGCAGCGCGAACUGGAUGACUUGAGUUCGCGGGAGGUAGGCGGAAUUCGUGGUGUAGCGGUGAAAUGCUUAGAUAUCACG
This 349-nucleotide ribosomal RNA is filed under the name uncultured Prevotella sp. RNAcentral's name for it is "bacterial SSU rRNA". It matches the Rfam family "Bacterial small subunit ribosomal RNA", at positions 355 to 701 of the family's 1533-position model. Lineage: Bacteria; Pseudomonadati; Bacteroidota; Bacteroidia; Bacteroidales; Prevotellaceae. The record is from RNAcentral.